Molecule: ribosomal RNA, 478 nt
Filed under: uncultured bacterium
Lineage: Bacteria
Description: partial 16S ribosomal RNA
Rfam family: Bacterial small subunit ribosomal RNA
Source: RNAcentral
GAUGAACGCUGGCGGCGUGCUUAACGCAUGCAAGUCGAACGAGAAGUGAAGACGGAAACCUUCGGGCGGAAGGCUUUAUUUCGAGUGGCGGACGGGUGAGUAACGCGUGGGUAACCUGCCUCAUACAGGGGGAUAACAGUUGGAAACGACUGUUAAUACCGCAUAAGACCACAGCACCGCAUGGUGCGGGGGUAAAAACUCCGGUGGUAUGAGAUGGACCCGCGUUCGAUUAGCCAGUUGGCGGGGUAACGGCCCACCAAAGCGACGAUCGAUAGCCGAUCUGAGAGGAUGACCGGCCACAUUGGGACUGAGACACGGCCCAAACUCCUACGGGAGGCAGCAGUGGGGAAUAUUGCACAAUGGGGGAAACCCUGAUGCAGCGACGCCGCGUGAGUGAAGAAGUAUUUCGGUAUGUAAAGCUCUAUCAGCAGGGAAGAAAAUGACGGUACCUGAGGAAGAAGCCCCGGCUAACUACGUG